Non-coding RNA from Arachis ipaensis, 1847 nucleotides. The record is from RefSeq and is a predicted model, not a curated record. NCBI's taxonomy places the organism in Eukaryota, Viridiplantae, Streptophyta, Magnoliopsida, Fabales, Fabaceae.
CUCUCCGGUAAUGACUCUGCAGCGGAAACCACGGCAGGGACUAAGUUGAUUAAAAUUUAUAAAGUUUAGGGACUAAAUAGAGGCAAUUGAAACGUCAAGGACCAAAUUGAGGCUCGAGUGUAACUUCAGGGACCAAACUGAGUAUUUUCUCAACAAAAACAUAUAAAAAAAAUCAAUGGUUCUUCAUCUUUUCCACUUCUAAAGCAAAGUAAAACAUAUCAAAAAAAAAAAAUCAAUUGCUCUUCAUCUUCUCCAAUUUUCCUAAUCAUUUGUGUUACCCUCUGAAGCAAAGCAAUGAAAAUCUCAAAUCAAAAUGGCAAAAUCCUAGCCCUAGGUUCUUUGCCGCCGGCGUCCCAGGCUCGGCGCUUCCGCUUCUUCCUCUUCCCUCUGUCCAGAACCCAGGUAGCUCGGCACGUCGUCCCCAUCCUCGCUGGCUUCUCUGUCUGUGGCCAGGAAAAAAGAAGGAAUCGAAGUCCAAUCGCAAGUUAGAUAAAAAAGUUCAAUUUUACUCUAAGGUGAAAGAUGCUGUGUCUUGCUUGAGUGCUCAAAAGUCUAUUAUUACUAAGGUAGUGAUCUUAUUUCAAAUGGCAUUGUUCUUAAGAUGGAUUAUAGAAAUCCUUCAUUGUGGUUGCAAUAGGUUUGAUGGCUAAGUACAUCUAACUAGCCAUUAUGAUCAUAAAACUCGAAAUUCGAAGAAUGUGCAUAUUUCAUUAGUACCAAAUCCUAGUCACUUAGAAGCAGUGGAUCCUGUGGUAGAAGGAAAAACUAGAGCUAAACAAUAUGUUUCAAAUGAUUCUGAAAGAAUCAAGAACAUUAGUAUUUUGAUUCAUGGAGAUGGUAGUUUACCAGGACAAGGUGUAGCAUAUGAAAGUUUGCGUCUAAGUGCUCAUCCAAAUUAUUCUACUCGUGGAACUGUUCAUCUAGUCCUCAACAAUCAAGGGAAUGAUAUGUGUGGUGACUUGUGAAUGUAUCUGUUGCCUAUGUAUGAAUUUAUAUUCUUUUGGUGAUUGAAAUUUUGUUCUUUUAUACAAUCUAGUAUUCUGUUUUUACUAUUUUAGUUGUGUGCUGGAUAUGGGGCUUGUGUGUGGUUAAUAAAUAAUAAUUGGUCUUGCAAAUGUUUAUGUUUCCUUGCCAUAUGCUAAAUACUUUAGUUGGUUUAUGAAUCUACUUGUGUGUCUUUCACUGAUCUAUUAUCUUUCACUCAGUAGAUCACUAUUGCCUACAGGUCGAGGUUUUGUGGUUUUCCAUGCCAAAUUUGCAGACAACUAUAAACUUUACUCACGGAGCCACUUUGUCCACUUAUUCCCAAAGGGAAUUUUUGUGAAACCCCCUAUUUUGUUCUCGUUUUCCUUUGUUAUUUGUAAAGUAUUCAUUAUCAUCUUCUAAUGUUUCUUUCCACCUUAGUAGACCUCUCCUAUGGUUCUUUUGGGUAGCUAUGUUUUAUUACUUUCUUGUCUUCUUUUUUACUUAUAUUUUCAGCAAAAGCUGUCUAAACGAGAAGUUGGAACCAUAGAUAGAAGUCGGGAUGUUGCUCAAUUACAAGAGUUCUAUAAGCUUUAUAGAGAGAAGAAUAAUGUAGAGAAAUUGCACGAGGAAGAGAUGAAGUUGAGGGAAUCUGGUGCUUUCAGCCGGGAUCUUGGUGAGUAUGUUUUUUGUCCAAGUAGAUAGACAUAACACUGAUUUGGAUAAUCUUGUGCUUUCUCUUUGCCCUCCGUUGAGCGUGGGCAUGUCAUAGAUGAUACAUCAUUGAACCUGUCAUUAUCCCAAGAUCAGCUGUUCAGUUCAUUGAAACUGUCUGCUAUAGUACUUUAUUAUAUGUGAAGAAUGGUUUUACUCUUUCUUGCCAA